GCAGAAGCAAUUUUCAGAAAGGUUGUAAUGAACAAAAUGUUUCAGAUAUUUUGGAGGAUAGACUGUGCAGUGACCUCCACAUAUGAAAUAGGAAACCCUCCAGAUUACAGGGAGGAAAAUUGCAUGAAGAAGCAUGGUAUGCCCAUGAAUCACAUGGCUCAGCAGAUUAUCAAAGAAGACUUUACCACAUUUGAUUAUAUACCAUAUAUCAAUGAAAGCAACUUGAGAGAUUUGAAUAGAAAAUUUCCUCAAGUUAAAAACUGCAAAGCUAAAAUUGAACUACUUGGGUGCUAUGAUUCACCAAAACAACUUGUUAUUGAAAACCCCUGUUAAGGGAAUGACCCUGACUUUGAGAUGGUAUACCAGCAAUGUGUCAGGUGCUGCAGAGCAUUCUUGGAAAAGGCCCAC
RNAcentral lists this long non-coding RNA (408 nucleotides) under Homo sapiens (human). Its description in RNAcentral is "non-protein coding lnc-OPN4-4:1". Lineage: Eukaryota; Metazoa; Chordata; Mammalia; Primates; Hominidae. The record is from RNAcentral.